AAGGAGGUGCUCUGGACAUCCCCAUCGAAGACACCAUCACCACACCCCAAAGCGUGCCCAGCUCCGAGCUGUUCCCUGGAUACAACAAGAGAGAAUUUUAAAAGAAAAUUUAACUGGCAAUCAAGCCUGACCUGUCAUAUAGAUGGGCUUGUGAUGGAUUGUUCAUUCAUCCAGGGUGUUUUCCCGCCUGUAUUAGACGUUGCUCCGGCAUCCCUGCAACCCUGCAUACAACAAGCGGUUUGGAAACUGGAUGGAUGGAUGUCAUGGCUGGAACUACACCGCCCCCUGCUGAUCAAAUAGAACUUGCAAGGCAGGGCCUUCCUUUCACAUUCUGUAAAAAUGGAACUGCAAGAACUCCACAAACCUGAUGAUCAUAUUGAGCAUGAUUUGAGAAUAAUUAAGUGAGCUUCUUGUGAUUCUGACCAUCUGUACAAAUGAGUUCAUAUAUGGUCAAUGUCACAUAACUGUUUUUGAUAGUUACCUAGAAGUAGAUGUGCAGAAUCUGGAAUAUUUAUUAAAUAAAUAGAAAUACAAUAGUAUUUAAUAUUAAUAAUAUUCUUUGUUUUACAAAUUUUAGAAAUCCUAAAACACUAUUAAAAAACUCUU
Onychostoma macrolepis is the source of this 606-nucleotide long non-coding RNA. RefSeq lists it as uncharacterized. The transcript has 3 exons. The record is from RefSeq and is a predicted model, not a curated record. NCBI's taxonomy places the organism in Eukaryota, Metazoa, Chordata, Actinopteri, Cypriniformes, Cyprinidae.